Molecule: ribosomal RNA, 139 nt
Filed under: uncultured bacterium
Lineage: Bacteria
Description: partial 16S ribosomal RNA
Rfam family: Bacterial small subunit ribosomal RNA
Source: RNAcentral
AAUGGGCGCAAGCCUGAUGCAGCGACGCCGCGUGCGGGAUGGAGGCCUUCGGGUUGUAAACCGCUUUUGUUCAAGGGCAAGGCAGGCUUUCGGGCCUGUUGAGUGGAUUGUUCGAAUAAGCACCGGCUAACUACGUGCC